UGGUGGAAUCCAUGCCUGGUUCAUUUUAAUAAACGUGACAGGCAGCUGCGCUUGUCUGUGAUAACCUCUUGCCGAUUGCACAUCCCUGUGACGGCAACAACGCAUUUGGAUGUCUGCCCUAUCAACUUUCGAUGCAAUUUUCCGCGCCUAUCAUGGUGACCACGGGUAACGGGGGAUCAGAGUUCGAUUCCAGAGAGGGAGCCUGAGAAAUGGCUAACACAUGCAAGGCAGCAGGCGCGCAAAUUACCCACUCCCGACGCCGGGAGGUAGUGA
Molecule: non-coding RNA, 273 nt
Organism: Pelobates cultripes (western spadefoot toad)
Lineage: Eukaryota; Metazoa; Chordata; Amphibia; Anura; Pelobatidae
Source: the annotation of a GenBank genome assembly